Pristis pectinata (smalltooth sawfish) is the source of this 593-nucleotide long non-coding RNA. RefSeq lists it as uncharacterized. Lineage: Eukaryota; Metazoa; Chordata; Chondrichthyes; Rhinopristiformes; Pristidae. The record is from RefSeq and is a predicted model, not a curated record. The transcript is spliced from 5 exons.
AGCAAACUAUAAAUUGGAAUAUAAAAUAUAAAUUGUGGAUCUGUCCUUAUGUUCUCGUGGGAAGUUGAAUAUGUAAUUUGCAAUAUAAGGUAAUUAGAGAAGCACAUUAAAAGUCAUCCUUGCCAGGGAUGUCCACAUCUAAUAAAUAAAAUAGUGAAUUACAGGUAACAGCUCAGCCAGCUUUCCAGGAGGUUCAGAAACCGAAAGCAAGUUACAGGGAAAUAAUGCUGUUGACAUCCAUAGGAUUGUUGAUGCUGUAAUAAAUUAGAGGCCUUCCCUCGAGAGAUUGAGGAUGAUUUGCUUCUAUUCCAAGUCUGUGGGUUCUGCAGGUUCAUUAGACAAUGAUACAGAUACACGUGUACAGUAUAUCUGUAAAUCUGGCUUUGAAGUUUAACAAGAAAGAUCAUAAUUCAACAUACUACUUUAACUGAACAAUGAUAACAAGGCUGGAAGUAUUGUACAUUGGGAUUUUCAAAUUAUAAUUUUUUUCAGUUCACAAGGACUAGAAUAACUGAUGCCUUUUCUGCUCAAUGCUACAUAAAUAUUAUCUACUUAAAGAAUAAAUCUUUUAAACUCAAACUGUUAACAUUUUU